AUCAAGAAAGGUCAACAUCAGAGCGUUUUGGAUUCAAUGAAAUAUGAUAAAAAUACUACAGGUAGUGUUGCAGAACUUUGCUCCUUAGUUCAGCUGAAACUGGGUUCCUGUCACAGGACCACGAAGGAUUAGGAACACAGACUCAUUGAAGGGUGAGGGGAACAGAAUUUAUUGGGCAAAAAAAGGAAAAGAAGAAGAAGAAAAGACUCCCAGCAAAGUGAGAGGGAGUCCUGCUAACAGGCCCCCAACGUCACAGAUUGAUUCCAGGUCACACACAUGAGCUGAAGAGGCCAGGCUCCUCCCCGACCACACGGGAAAGUUACAUCGAGUGUGCCUGCCUCUCCUGCCUCUCCUUCCACCUCCUCUAACUCUCCUGCUUCUACCACCCCUGAGACAGCAAGACCAACCUCUCGUCAGCCUAUUCAAUGUGAAGAAAAUAAGGAGGAAGACCUUAUGAGGACCUACGUCCAAUCAAUAAAUAGCUUGCGGGAGGUUCUGGAGUCCCAUGGUUAUUAAUCUCUGGAGGCUUCACCAUCCUUUGUGGGUUCCUUUAAUUAUCUCCAUUGCCUCAAAAGCUGAAAAAGCAAGUCUUGCAGUUUGGUGGGAGAGAGUAUGCAGUCACCAACAUGGCAUGAAUUUAGGAGUGAAUAAACGAAAGAAAAGAAAAAAACCUAUUAUUUAG
RNAcentral lists this long non-coding RNA (682 nucleotides) under Homo sapiens (human). RNAcentral describes it as "HSALNT0074494". Lineage: Eukaryota; Metazoa; Chordata; Mammalia; Primates; Hominidae. The record is from RNAcentral.